UAAUACGUAGGGGGCGAGCGUUGUCCGGAAUUAUUGGGCGUAAAGAGCGUGUAGGCGGUUUGGUAAGUCUGCCGUGAAAACCUGGGGCUCAACCCCGGGCGUGCGGUGGAAACUGCCAGGCUAGAGGAUGGUAGAGGCGAGUGGAAUUCCGAGUGUAGCGGUGAAAUGCGCAGAUAUUCGGAGGAACACCAGUAGCGAAGGCGGCUCGCUGGGCCAUACCUAACGCUGAGACGCGAAAGCGUGGGGAGCGAACAGGAUUAGAUACCCUGGUAGUCCACGCCGUAAACGAUGAACACUAGGUGUUGGGGGAGUCGAAUCCCUCGGUGCCGCAGCCAACGCGUUAAGUGUUCCGCCUGGGGAGUACGGCCGCAAGGCUAAAACUCAAAGGAAUUGACGG
Molecule: ribosomal RNA, 397 nt
Filed under: uncultured bacterium
Lineage: Bacteria
Description: bacterial SSU rRNA
Rfam family: Bacterial small subunit ribosomal RNA
Source: RNAcentral